GGAGAGGUGCCGGAGCGGUUGAACGGGGCGGUCUCGAAAACCGUUAUGCCCGUAAGGGCAUCGAGGGUUCGAAUCCCUCCCUCUCCGCCA
This 90-nucleotide transfer RNA is filed under the name Candidatus Eiseniibacteriota bacterium. RNAcentral describes it as "Candidatus Eisenbacteria bacterium (sediment metagenome) tRNA-Ser". It matches the Rfam family "tRNA". From Rfam's summary of the family: Transfer RNA (tRNA) molecules are approximately 80 nucleotides in length. Their secondary structure includes four short double-helical elements and three loops (D, anti-codon, and T loops). Lineage: Bacteria; Candidatus Eiseniibacteriota. The record is from RNAcentral.